GAUGAACGCUGGCGGCGUGCCUAAUACAUGCAAGUCGAGCGAACAGACGAGGAGCUUGCUCCUCUGACGGUAGCGGCGGACGGGUGAGUAACACGUGGAUAACCUACCUAUAAAACUGGGAGAACUUCGGGAAACCGGAGCUAAUACCGGAUAAUAUACUGAUCCGCAUGGUUCAAUAGUGAAAGACGGUUUUGCUGUCACUUAUAGAUGGAUCCGCGCCGCAUUAGCUAGUUGGUAAGGUAACGGCUUACCCAGGCAACCAUGCGUAGACGACCUGAGAGGGUGGCAGGCCCAGCUGGAACUGAGCUACGGUCCAGACUCCUACGGGAGGCAGCAGUAGGGAAUCUUCCACAAUGGGAGAAAGCUUGACGGGGCAACGCCGCGUGAGUGAUGAAGGUCUUCGGAUCGUGAAACUCUGUUAUUAGGGAAGAAGAAAUGUGUAAGUAACUAUGCACGUCUUGACGGUACCUAAUCAGAAAGCCACGGCUAACUACGUG
This 497-nucleotide ribosomal RNA is filed under the name uncultured bacterium. Its description in RNAcentral is "partial 16S ribosomal RNA". It matches the Rfam family "Bacterial small subunit ribosomal RNA", at positions 28 to 507 of the family's 1533-position model. The record is from RNAcentral.